GCCCCGCUAGCUCAGUGGAUAGAGCAGCUGCCUUCUAAGCAGUAGGUCGGGGGUUCGACUCCCUCGCGGGGCACCA
This 76-nucleotide transfer RNA is filed under the name Candidatus Dormiibacterota bacterium. RNAcentral's name for it is "tRNA-Arg". It matches the Rfam family "tRNA". Rfam says of the family: Transfer RNA (tRNA) molecules are approximately 80 nucleotides in length. Their secondary structure includes four short double-helical elements and three loops (D, anti-codon, and T loops). Further hydrogen bonds mediate the characteristic L-shaped molecular structure. tRNAs have two regions of fundamental functional importance: the anti-codon, which is responsible for specific mRNA codon recognition, and the 3' end, to which the tRNAs corresponding amino acid is attached (by aminoacyl-tRNA synthetases). tRNAs cope with the degeneracy of the genetic code in two manners: having more than one tRNA (with a specific anti-codon) for a particular amino acid; and 'wobble' base-pairing, i.e. permitting non-standard base-pairing at the 3rd anti-codon position. The record is from RNAcentral. Lineage: Bacteria; Bacillati; Candidatus Dormiibacterota.